RNAcentral lists this ribosomal RNA (460 nucleotides) under uncultured bacterium. Its description in RNAcentral is "partial 16S ribosomal RNA". It matches the Rfam family "Bacterial small subunit ribosomal RNA", at positions 338 to 795 of the family's 1533-position model. The record is from RNAcentral.
CCUACGGGGAGCAGCAGUGAGGAAUAUUGGUCAAUGGGCGGGAGCCUGAACCAGCCAAGUCGCGUGAGGGAAGACGGUCCUAUGGAUUGUAAACCUCUUUAGGCGGGGAGCAAUGCCGGGCACGCGUGCCCGGAGGGAGAGGACCCGCAGAAUAAGCAUCGGCUAACUCCGUGCCAGCAGACGCGGGAAUACGGAGGAUGCGAGCGUGAUCCGGAUUUAUGGGGGUAAAAGGGGGCGUAGGCGGAAUGCCAAGUCAGCGGUAAAAUCACGGGGCUCAACCUCGCUCCGCCGUUGAAACUGGCGUUCUUGAGUGGGCGAGAGGUAUGCGGAAUGCGUGGUGUAGCGGUGAAAUGCAUAGAUAUCACGCAGAACUCCGAUUGCGAAGGCAGCAUACCGGCGCGCAACUGACGCUGAGGCACGAAAGCGUGGGUAUCGAACAGGAUUAGAUACCCCUGUAGUC